GAUGAAGAACGCAGCGAAAUGCGAUACGUAAUGUGAAUUGCAGAUCUCUCAGUGAACCAUCGAAUUUUUGAACGCACAUUGCGCCCGCCAGUAUUCUGGCGGGCAUGCCUGUUCGAGCGUCAUUUCAACCCUCAAGCACAGCUUGGUGUUGGGACUCGCGUUAAUUCGCGUUCCUCAAAUUGAUUGGCGGUCACGUCGAGCUUCCAUAGCGUAGUAGUAAAACCCUCGUUACUGGUAAUCGUCGCGGCCACGCCGUUAAACCCCAACUUCUGAAUGUUGACCUCGGAUCAGGUAGGAAUACCCGCUGAACUUAAGCAUAUCAAUAAGCGGAGGA
RNAcentral lists this unclassified non-coding RNA (334 nucleotides) under soil metagenome. RNAcentral describes it as "partial contains 5.8S ribosomal RNA, internal transcribed spacer 2, and large subunit ribosomal RNA". The stretch from base 1 to 122 matches the Rfam family "5.8S ribosomal RNA", at positions 35 to 154 of the family's 154-position model. The record is from RNAcentral.